GAUGAAGAACGCAGCGAAAUGCGAUACUUGGUGUGAAUUGCAGAAUCCCGUGAACCAUCGAGUCUUUGAACGCAAGUUGCGCCCGAAGCCAUUAGGCCGAGGGCACGCCUGCCUGGGCGUCAAACGUCGUUGCCCCCCCCAUCUACUCCUUCGGGAUUGCGGGGGGCGGAUGAUGGCCUCCCGUGCGCCUCGCCGCGCGGUUGGCAUAAAUGCCAAGUCCUCGGCGAUGCACGCCACGACAAUCGGUGGUUGCGAAACCUCGGUUGCCCGUCGUGUGCGGUCGUCGCGCAUCGAGGGCUCGAAAAAAUUGCCGGGUUCCGGCUCGGCUUUCAACGCGACCCCAGGUCAGGCGGGGUUACCCGCUGAAUUUAAGCAUAUCAAUAAGCGGAGGA
RNAcentral lists this unclassified non-coding RNA (392 nucleotides) under soil metagenome. RNAcentral's name for it is "partial contains 5.8S ribosomal RNA, internal transcribed spacer 2, and large subunit ribosomal RNA". The stretch from base 1 to 122 matches the Rfam family "5.8S ribosomal RNA", at positions 35 to 154 of the family's 154-position model. The record is from RNAcentral.